This 653-nucleotide ribosomal RNA is filed under the name uncultured soil bacterium. RNAcentral's name for it is "bacterial SSU rRNA". It matches the Rfam family "Bacterial small subunit ribosomal RNA", at positions 37 to 686 of the family's 1533-position model. The record is from RNAcentral.
UGGCGGCAUGCCUUACACAUGCAAGUCGAACGCGAAAGCGGGGCAACCCGCAAGUAGAGUGGCGAACGGGUGAGUAAUACAUCGGAACAUUUCCAGUAGCGGGGGAUAACCUGCCGAAAGAUAGGCUAAUACCGCAUACGACCUAAGGGUGAAAGCGGAGGACCGCAAGGCUUCGCACUAUUGGAGUGGCCGAUGUCGGAUUAGCUAGUUGGCGGGGUAAAAGCCCACCAAGGCGACGAUCCGUAGCUGGUCUGAGAGGACGAUCAGCCACACUGGAACUGAGACACGGUCCAGACUCCUACGGGAGGCAGCAGUGGGGAAUUUUGGACAAUGGGCGCAAGCCUGAUCCAGCCAUGCCGCGUGAGUGAAGAAGGCCUUCGGGUUGUAAAGCUCUUUCGGUGGGGACGAAAAGGUUCGCGCUAAUACCGCGGACUAAUGACGGUACCCGAAGAAGAAGCACCGGCUAACUACGUGCCAGCAGCCGCGGUAAUACGUAGGGUGCAGGCGUUAAUCGGAAUUACUGGGCGUAAAGCGUGCGCAGGCGGUUUUGUAAGUCUGACGUGAAAUCCCCGGGCUCAACCUGGGAAUUGCGUUGGAGACUGCAAGGCUAGAAUCUGGCAGAGGGGGGUAGAAUUCCACGUGUAGCAGUGAAA